CUCCUCAUGACGCAUGAGCGGUGUCCUUUA
This 30-nucleotide non-coding RNA is filed under the name Mus musculus (house mouse). The record is from RNAcentral. Lineage: Eukaryota; Metazoa; Chordata; Mammalia; Rodentia; Muridae.